Molecule: long non-coding RNA, 207 nt
Organism: Micropterus salmoides (largemouth bass)
Lineage: Eukaryota; Metazoa; Chordata; Actinopteri; Centrarchiformes; Centrarchidae
Exons: 3
Source: RefSeq, a predicted model, not a curated record
GAGGGACCUUUAGCAGAGGACAUUGAAGAUGUCAGUAUGCUAAGAGAUGAUGGGUCAGACGAUGAGGUCAGCAUGUCAUCCACGCAAGAAUGUACCUCCACAUCACAAAGUCAAAACCGGGGAGUGUCUGCAACCGAUGUCAGUAUGCCAAGAGAAGAGGGGUCAGAAGAUGAGGUCAGCAUGUCAUCCCUGCAAGAAUGUCCCUCC